Molecule: long non-coding RNA, 627 nt
Organism: Myotis daubentonii (Daubenton's bat)
Lineage: Eukaryota; Metazoa; Chordata; Mammalia; Chiroptera; Vespertilionidae
Source: RefSeq, a predicted model, not a curated record
AGCAGAGGAGGGAAACGCGGUACAGAGCCUGAGGACUGGGAAGGGAGCACCUGGGGUGCCCUGGGCCUCAAGCUUGGACUUCCAUGAUGCAACCUGAACUCCUCCAAGUAACGGAUGCGCAGGAAAGAACACAAUGAAAAGACGGCCAUCUGCAAACCAGGAAGUAGACCCGCACCCAAACCUGACCUUGCUGGCCCUGCGACCUCCAACUUCCCUCCCCCAGAACUGAGAGAAAUAAACGUCUAUGGUCAGUACCCACCCACACCCCCGGUUUGUGAUAUUUUUACAGCAGCCCAAGCUCGCAGAUCCCUGGAGGCGUAUUAAAACUUCGGCAGAGUUGUUUCCUUGUCUCUUCAGCAGAAGCAUAAGGGCCAUGUCAGCGGCCAUCUCCAACUCUUCCCUGGCUUUCCCAAAUAUCCCUGCUCUUCCGACACAGAACACCUUAGAGUUUACUGAGUUUAAUAAAGACGGUCAGAGUCUACCUGGCAGCGCGCCUCGGAGCCAGGGGCUGUGUUCCAGUCCCUUCCACUUGUUGCCGUGCUUGUCUGAGUUGAAAACCAAUCCAUGGUUGUUCCGUGGACGGGUUUUGUUCUUCACUCGUCUGAGGGCACAAUUAAGUCUCUGGAA